RNAcentral lists this ribosomal RNA (529 nucleotides) under Chloropicon mariensis. RNAcentral describes it as "partial Bacterial small subunit ribosomal RNA". It matches the Rfam family "Bacterial small subunit ribosomal RNA", at positions 34 to 517 of the family's 1533-position model. Lineage: Eukaryota; Viridiplantae; Chlorophyta; Chloropicophyceae; Chloropicales; Chloropicaceae. The record is from RNAcentral.
CGCUGGCGGCGUGCCUAAUACAUGCAAGUCGAACGCUUUGUGGUUCAACUGAUUUGAAGAGCUUGCUCAGAUAUGACGAUGGACAUUGCAAAGAGUGGCGAACGGGUGAGUAACACGUGGGAAACCUACCUCUUAGCAGGGGAUAACAUUUGGAAACAGAUGCUAAUACCGUAUAACAAUAGCAACCGCAUGGUUGCUACUUAAAAGAUGGUUCUGCUAUCACUAAGAGAUGGUCCCGCGGUGCAUUAGUUAGUUGGUGAGGUAAUGGCUCACCAAGACGAUGAUGCAUAGCCGAGUUGAGAGACUGAUCGGCCACAAUGGGACUGAGACACGGCCCAUACUCCUACGGGAGGCAGCAGUAGGGAAUCUUCCGCAAUGGACGCAAGUCUGACGGAGCAACGCCGCGUGAGUGAAGAAGGUUUUCGGAUCGUAAAGCUCUGUUGUUAAGGAAGAACACCAUGGAUAGGAAAUGAUCGAUGGAUGACGGUACUUAACCAGAAAGCCACGGCUAACUACGUGCCAGCAGCCG